CACCUCCUCCCGAACCCGUUGGUCCUUAAUUCUGCUACUUCGGUGGGGCGCUCCUUAAAGGGCUGAGCGCUUGUCUUCCAGGGCGCGCUUUCCUGCCUUUCCCGGUGCAAAGUCGGCCAAAGCGCGCCUUCCGUCCCCGGAGCCACCCCACAGGAGGAGACAGAACUUACAAUCUAAUUUUUCAUGAGGACCUGGUGUUGUGAAAGUUGACUAUGGUCUCAAGUAGAUCCUGAUGCUGGGACCAUAGUGGCAAUGAUGAGUCAGUCUGUCCUGAAGUUGCGCUGGGGACAUUUUCUGACAUCAAUCUUUGCCUACCUAUCUCCCAACCUCCAGCAAUUUUGCCAACAAUUUCCUUCAAGGUAAUGUUUUCAACGGAUUAUUAAAAUCAUGUUUUCUCCUAAAAUCUCUGAUUCCCAUUAUGUUGCAGCUCCUAGCCCUCUGUGUCCACCAGCAUGUCAACCCAAGGUCAUCCAAGUCCUUGCUUGAGCCUCAA
Molecule: long non-coding RNA, 493 nt
Organism: Lutra lutra (Eurasian river otter)
Lineage: Eukaryota; Metazoa; Chordata; Mammalia; Carnivora; Mustelidae
Exons: 3
Source: RefSeq, a predicted model, not a curated record